GGUCCGAGCGGAUGAAUGGAGCUUGCUCCAUGAUUCAGCGGCGGACGGGUGAGUAAUGCCUAGGAAUCUGCCUGGUAGUGGGGGACAACGUUUCGAAAGGAACGCUAAUACCGCAUACGUCCUACGGGAGAAAGUGGGGGAUCUUCGGACCUCACGCUAUCAGAUGAGCCUAGGUCGGAUUAGCUAGUUGGCGAGGUAAAGGCUCACCAAGGCGACGAUCCGUAACUGGUCUGAGAGGAUGAUCAGUCACACUGGAACUGAGACACGGUCCAGACUCCUACGGGAGGCAGCAGUGGGGAAUAUUGGACAAUGGGCGAAAGCCUGAUCCAGCCAUGCCGCGUGUGUGAAGAAGGUCUUCGGAUUGUAAAGCACUUUAAGUUGGGAGGAAGGGCAGUAAGUUAAUACCUUGCUGUUUUGACGUUACCGACAGAAUAAGCACCGGCUAACCUCGUGCCAGCAGCCGCGGUAAUACGAAGGGUGCAAGCGUUAAUCGGAAUUACUGGGCGUAAAGCGCGCGUAGGUGGUUCGUUAAGUUGGAUGUGAAAGCCCCGGGCUCAACCUGGGAACUGCAUCCAAAACUGGCGAGCUAGAGUAUGGCAGAGGGGUGGUGGAAUUUCCUGUGUAGCGGUGAAAUGCGUAGAUAUAGGAAGGAACACCAGUGGCGAAGGGCGACCACCUGGGGCUAAUACUGACACUGAGGUGCGAAAGCGUGGGGAGCAAACAGGAUUAGAUAACCCUGGUAGUCCACGCCGUAAACGAUGUCGACUAGCCCGUUGGGAUCCCUUUGAAGAUCUUAGUGGGCGCAGCUAACGCAUUAAAGUCGACCGCCUGGGGGAGUACGGGCCCGCCAG
This 851-nucleotide ribosomal RNA is filed under the name bacterium enrichment culture clone bHCH1_G6. RNAcentral's name for it is "bacterial SSU rRNA". It matches the Rfam family "Bacterial small subunit ribosomal RNA", at positions 60 to 892 of the family's 1533-position model. The record is from RNAcentral.